UACGGGGGGGGCAAGCGUUGUUCGGAAUUACUGGGCGUAAAGGGCUCGUAGGUGGCCAUCUAAGUCAGACGUGAAAUCCCUCGGCUCAACCGGGGAACUGCGUCUGAUACUGGGCGGCUUGAAUUCGGGAGAGGGACGUGGAAUUCCAGGUGUAGCGGUGAAAUGCGUAGAUAUCUGGAGGAACACCGGUGGCGAAGGCGGCGUCCUGGACCGAUAUUGACACUGAGGAGCGAAAGCCAGGGGAGCAAACGGGAUUAGAUGCCCCGGUAGUCCUGGCCCUAAACGAUGAGUGCUCGGUGUGGCGGGUAUCGAUCCCCGCCGUGCCUAAGCUAACGCAUUAAGCACUCCGCCUGGGGAGUACGGUCGCAAGGCUGAA
Molecule: ribosomal RNA, 376 nt
Filed under: uncultured bacterium
Lineage: Bacteria
Description: bacterial SSU rRNA
Rfam family: Bacterial small subunit ribosomal RNA
Source: RNAcentral